RNAcentral lists this non-coding RNA (982 nucleotides) under Pongo abelii (Sumatran orangutan). Lineage: Eukaryota; Metazoa; Chordata; Mammalia; Primates; Hominidae. The record is from RNAcentral.
GCACUUAGGCGGAGCGGUAGUGUGAGGAAGCCUCCCGCCAAACAGACGAGAGAGGAAGAGGAGGGGAGGGGCCAGAGAGAGAAGCGGCUUUCGGGAAGGAAAGUGUGGUCUAGGAGGUGGAAUAGUCUCCAAACUUUGACCUGAGAAUGUCCCUCUAUUUGGAUUUGGAUUACAAAAGUUCAACAAUUUUUGGAAAAAUCCUACCUAGGUAAUGUGUCGUUCUCAGUGCAUCAUGUCAGGCAGCUUAUGAUGCCAAUUUGUCCCAUGGGAAGAAAAAUGUACUGUAUUUCACCGUGCUGACUGCAACUGCCAAUCAAGAUAGUCUGCAGCCUACCUGUGGACCUUGAUGAUUUCACAUGUUCUGUGGAAGAAUUUCUCCCCCACCUCCAAUGACUAUGGCAUUCCUUGGGAAAGUUAGCUUGGUAUUUACUUUUCCCCAGCAGGUCCCAAGCUGACAAAAAAUAAAAAUAAAAAAUAAAAAAUAAACAACAACAACAACAACAAAAUCACAAAACAACAACCAGUUAGCCAGGCUGUUUCAAAGGCCUACUGAGUUCCAUGAUAGCAAGAAUUCUAUGAAUAAUAAUGGGACAUGGAAUCCCGUGCAGCCUCGCGGAGAGCUCAGCCUAAUCACCCAGAAAUUCUGCUUCAUCACAGCCCUUUCUCUUGCCAUAAAACUGCUUGGGCUCUGUCUUUGCCUUCACAUCAUUUAAGCCUUUCUGCCCACCCUCCAGCAAUCUCAUCCCUGGGGCCUCCGCCCGUUACCAUGCUGGGGCUCCCCAGGGCUUCUCAAGAGGCUCUGUCAGCUCCAUCCUAGAGGCCUCUUUGCAGCACCAGAAGAAGUCCACACCUCCUCUUGUAGGACGUUCAAGCAACACAGGCCAGAGUAAGGAUCAAAGUAAAAGUCAUCCUAAAUUCACCACUGACAGAUACCACUGCCAAUAAACAGGAGACCGCUUUUUCGGAUGUCUAUGCAUUUAUA